Molecule: long non-coding RNA, 452 nt
Organism: Styela clava
Lineage: Eukaryota; Metazoa; Chordata; Ascidiacea; Stolidobranchia; Styelidae
Source: RefSeq, a predicted model, not a curated record
CCGUGGUUUAUUCUUGAAUAUAUAACGAGCAUACUCAAAGCUCUUCCCUGUUAAUUAGAGGCCAGCGUUAAACUUAUCGGACUAAUCAAGAUGAAACAAUCAAUGAUCGUCCUGCUCGUGAUUGGACUCUCUUUGUUUGCCCUCACCGACAUCUUCAUAACUCCAACAAUGUCAACUGCACAUGAUGAACGGUAUCGCCGAAGACUCGCAUAUGAUGAAGUAGACGUAGAACAGAAACAAGCAGAUGAUACGGCCCCGGAUUACGUCGAAGUCUUGGAAAUGGAGUCAUUAUUCGACGUAUAGCUGUAUACGGUAUAAAUGAAAAGAAGAAUAUUAUUCAAGACUAAAUUCGAAUUUUUAGUUAAUAUAUAUAUAUAUAUUGACGAGAAUAAAUGUAAAGGGACAGAAACAUGGAACUAUUCGCAUAUAAACACAUAUGAAAUUUUUUAAAU